This 236-nucleotide ribosomal RNA is filed under the name uncultured bacterium. RNAcentral's name for it is "partial 16S ribosomal RNA". It matches the Rfam family "Bacterial small subunit ribosomal RNA", at positions 32 to 247 of the family's 1533-position model. The record is from RNAcentral.
AAUCAACGCUGGCGGCGUGCCUAACACAUGCAAGUCGAACGCGAAAGCCCCUUCGGGGGUAAGUAGAGUGGCGUCCGGGUGAGUAACACGUGGGUAAUCUGCCUUCGGGUGGGGAAUAACCCAGGGAAACUUGGGCUAAUACCGCAUAAUGCAGCGGCACCUUAAUGGUGAUUAGUUGUUAAAGCGGGGAUCGCAAGACCUUCGCGCCUGAAGAGGAGCCUGCGGCAGAUUAGCUA